RNAcentral lists this long non-coding RNA (223 nucleotides) under Amborella trichopoda. RNAcentral's name for it is "long non-coding RNA (ATRI_LNC005454)". Lineage: Eukaryota; Viridiplantae; Streptophyta; Magnoliopsida; Amborellales; Amborellaceae. The record is from RNAcentral.
GAGAGAGAGAGAGAGAGAGAGAGAGAGAGAGAGAAUAGGAAGAUGAGAGAGAAGGGUUAGAUGCAGAGAGAGGAAGAGAGGGUUUCGAACAAGGUCCUUAGGGUUUCGAACGGGGGAAAUUUAGGCGGGGAGCUUUUUUGGGAUCGGGUGGUAUGAUCCCGCGAGAUCAAAAUGUCCGCUUAUUUCCUCGGGCAAACGAUCUAUCCACGGCAUUUUAGAAUCG